Molecule: long non-coding RNA, 280 nt
Organism: Magnolia sinica
Lineage: Eukaryota; Viridiplantae; Streptophyta; Magnoliopsida; Magnoliales; Magnoliaceae
Exons: 3
Source: RefSeq, a predicted model, not a curated record
GUCUGUUAUAAGCUUGUCAGGAACCUAAAUUCAUAUGCAAGCUUUUUGGGUUUGAGCUAGGCUCUUGUAUCUUGCAGAUGGGGUGUUAAGAAACCUCAAAUCAUGAAAAAUUUUGUCACAAUCUUGUCGAAUGCAGGUCUUGGGAUGGCCAUGUUCAGUCUCAGACUGUUCAUGGCCUUGCAGCCAAGAAUCAUAGCCUGUGGGACUCAACUUGACGCAUACGGAAUGGUUGUGAGGUUCCUCACUAGCCCGGCUGUCAUGGCGAUCGCAUCUAUUGGGG